AAUAACGUUUCCCCGGGGCCCUUGUACACACCGCCCCGUCAAGCCAUGGAAGUUGGGGGUACCGUGAAGUCGAUCACCGCAAGGAGUCGCCUAGGGUAAAACCAAUGACUGGGGCU
Molecule: ribosomal RNA, 116 nt
Filed under: uncultured bacterium
Lineage: Bacteria
Description: partial 16S ribosomal RNA
Source: RNAcentral